This 162-nucleotide ribosomal RNA is filed under the name uncultured Bacillus sp. RNAcentral describes it as "partial 16S ribosomal RNA". It matches the Rfam family "Bacterial small subunit ribosomal RNA", at positions 373 to 528 of the family's 1533-position model. Lineage: Bacteria; Bacillati; Bacillota; Bacilli; Caryophanales; Bacillaceae. The record is from RNAcentral.
UGAGGAGAAGCUGAGGAGCACGCCGCGUGAGUGAUGAAGGUUUUCGGAUCGUAAAACUCUGUUGUUAGGGAAGAACAAGUACCGUUCGAAUAGGGCGGNACCUUGACGGUACCUAACCAGAAAGCCACGGCUAACUACGUGCCAGCAGCCGCGGUAAUACGA